Long non-coding RNA from Oncorhynchus tshawytscha (Chinook salmon), 1345 nucleotides. The record is from Ensembl. Lineage: Eukaryota; Metazoa; Chordata; Actinopteri; Salmoniformes; Salmonidae.
CUCAGGCUGGACUACAUCCACAGUGCUGGUGGUGAUGCUCACAGGACUGGUAGGUUGGGACUCGAGCAUAAUGGAACACACAGGAUUACUGGGCUUAACUUUUCUCCUAGUGGUGCUCCGAGGGUUGCUAGGCCUUCCCUCAGGUCUGGAAGGCUGAACAUCAGGCUGGACCAGGCCCACUGGUCUAACAGGCCGUCUAGUGGGGCCCAGAGGGUUGCUAGGCCUCCCCUCAGGUCUGGAAGGCUGUACAUCAGGCUGGACCAGGCCCACUGGUCUAACAGGCCGUCUGGGUUGCCGAGGGUUGCUAGGCCUCCCCUCAGGUCUGGAAGGCUGUACAUCAGGUUGGACCAGGCCUACGGGGCUAACAGGCCGUCUAGUGGGGCGUUGAGGGUUGCUAGGCCUCCCCUCAGGUCUAGUGAUGCUGACAGAGAUUCUAGGUAUCAUUGACUCAGGCUGGUACAGGCUCUCUGGGCUGCUGGGCCGGGAAUCAGGCAGAAGCUUGUAGUUCUUCAGAACCUCAGUGAAGGAAAGCUCCUUGUUGCGCCUGCGUCUGUUGGUUUUGGCAGGUAGCUGGGAGCUGCUGCUGUUAAACCAACCGGGAGACUCACGACAUCCAUCCUGGACAGGAACCAGGGACUGGAGGUCUCUCCUCUUUCUGUGGGCAGCUGUGGGCCUCUUGGGCCUGACGUCGUCAGGAGGGGGAGCAUGAGGUACAACAUGCAGGGAGGGGAACGCUGAGGGCCUGAAAGAGGAGGCCAUCACUGGGGCCUGGCUGACCUCUUCUCUCUCCAGCAGCACUCUGUUAGAAGGACAGAGUAGCGGAACACCGAUGGACCUUGGUCCUCCAGACCCAUUCAGGUUGGGCCUCCUAUUCAUCAUUCACUGGUCUGCAGUAUUCUAAUCAGAAUGCUCCUUCUAGUCUUGAAUACUUGGAAUAGGAAGUGGCUUUCGGCACCAUUAAAUUCUAUAAAAAGAGAGCCACAGAAACAUCUUUGUUUAGUAUUUGGGGAAAUGUUUUUCAUGUUAUUACCUGUCUCUUAAUUUCAUCAAAUUCAGUUCUGAGUUGAAAUAAUUAUUUGGGAGAAGAUACAUUUUAAUGGAUAUGACAAGUUUGUUCAAUUCAUUUCUAAAAUCAUAGAUAUAACUGGUGGUCAAUAAAACUGUCUAUCCCCUCAUUUAUCUGAUAAACAGACAGACAGGUGUACUUACCGUUCACCUUGUAGUUCAAUCAGCUAAUGAUCCGUCAUUUCACCAGUGGCAGCUUGGUGUUUGAUCAUUACGUCAUCAGAGGCAUUUUGUAUUGUGACGCAACAAUGCCAAGCAUCAACCUUCCUGUCAUGGCUGC